GACGAACGCUGGCGGCGUGCCUAAUACAUGCAAGUAGAACGCUGAAGAGAGGAGCUUGCUCUUCUUGGAUGAGUUGCGAACGGGUGAGUAACGCGUAGGUAACCUGCCUGGUAGCGGGGGAUAACUAUUGGAAACGAUAGCUGAUACCGCAUAAAAUUGAUUAUUGCAUGAUAAUUAAUUGAAAGAUGCAACUGCAUCACUACCAGAUGGACCUACGUUGUAUUAGCUAGUUGGUGAGGUAACGGCUCACCAAGGCGACGAUACAUAGCCGACCUGAGAGGGUGAUCGGCCACACUGGGACUGAGACACGGCCCAGACUCCUACGGGAGGCAGCAGUAGGGAAUCUUCGGCAAUGGGGGGAACCCUGACCGAGCAACGCCGCGUGAGUGAAGAAGGUUUUCGGAUCGUAAAGCUCUGUUGUAAGAGAAGAACGGGUGUGAGAGUGGAAAGUUCACACUGUGACGGUAUCUUACCAGAAAGGGACGGCUAACUACGUG
RNAcentral lists this ribosomal RNA (497 nucleotides) under uncultured bacterium. RNAcentral's name for it is "partial 16S ribosomal RNA". It matches the Rfam family "Bacterial small subunit ribosomal RNA", at positions 28 to 507 of the family's 1533-position model. The record is from RNAcentral.